Molecule: ribosomal RNA, 585 nt
Filed under: uncultured eukaryote
Lineage: Eukaryota
Description: bacterial SSU rRNA
Rfam family: Eukaryotic small subunit ribosomal RNA
Source: RNAcentral
UAGUUAUAUGCUUGUUUCAAGGACUAAGCCAUGCAAGUCUAAGAAUUAAGUGUGUUAGGCCAAGUCUGCGUACGGCUCAUUAAAUCAGCUCUAAUCUACCCGCUGAAGUUGGGGCUUGCCCUAACCAGCCGGAUAACCUCCAGAAACUAGAGGCUAAUACGUGUAUGAAACACGCCUUUCUCUAUUCAAACGGUGAAGGGAAACCGGACCCGUGGAGAAGGUGUGCAGUUGGCCGGCACCAAAAAUCAACCCGCGGUGAAUGCGGAGUGGGUUUAUCGAUGAAACAGGCCAACCAUAGGGAUAGCGCAUGGCUUCGGCCGGCGCAGGAGCGGACGAAGAUCUGCCCUAUCAUGCUACGAUGGUAGUGUAGUGGACUACCAUGGCUAUCACGGGUAACGGAGGAUCAGGGUUCGAUUCCGGAGAGGGAGCCUGAGAGACGGCUACCACGACUAAGGUCGGCAGCAGGCGCGCAAAUUGCCCAAUACCAAUACUGGUGAGGCAGCGACGAAAAAUAGCAGCUCUGCUUGUCAACGACAUGUGGAGCUUGCAAUGGAUGAUAUUCAAACCCAUCAAUGAGUAACAAUU